This 462-nucleotide ribosomal RNA is filed under the name Triticum aestivum (bread wheat). RNAcentral describes it as "partial small subunit ribosomal RNA". Lineage: Eukaryota; Viridiplantae; Streptophyta; Magnoliopsida; Poales; Poaceae. The record is from RNAcentral.
AUGGGAGUUUGGCAGUGGAGGACAGUGGUGCGCGGAAAGCCACAGCCAGUAGGGAACCCAGGCCGUUCAUACGAACUGGAGCACACCCCUCCAUAUGGCAGGCCGAGUAUACGAAAGGAACAUGAGCCACUUCUUCUGAUAAUUCAUUUCUGGCGGUGCGCGUGUGGGAGAUGCGGUGCUAAGAGAGCGGACGUCGUCUUCCGACGGCGUCUAUAUACGCCGAGACCUCUCCCUGCUUGCCUGCCGUGGGUGUGCUCCUUGGAGAAUCCAUUUGCGUUUCUCCCCUUGGCGACGAGAUGUGAUCCAUCGUCGUCUUCUCGCCGUCUCUUCGUGCGGCGUGGCCUCGCUUCCGAAACAAUCCUACUGCCAGUCCUGCAAUUUCUUGGUUGGUUAGGCCGUGUGGAUAAGGAGGAGGAGGGAGGAGGAGGAAAGCGAGAGGCGCAUGGCUGGGCUAGCUUUUAG